Molecule: ribosomal RNA, 254 nt
Filed under: uncultured bacterium
Lineage: Bacteria
Description: partial 16S ribosomal RNA
Rfam family: Bacterial small subunit ribosomal RNA
Source: RNAcentral
UACGUAGGGUGCGAGCGUUAAUCGGAAUUACUGGGCGUAAAGCGUGCGCAGGCGGUUUUGUAAGCCAGAUGUGAAAUCCCCGGGCUUAACCUGGGAAUGGCGCUUGAGACUGGAUAGCUUGGAGUGUGGCAGAGGGAGGUGGAAUUCCACGUGUAGCAGUGAAAUGCGUAGAGAUGUGGAGGAACACCGAUGGCGAAGGCAGCCUCCUGGGCCAGCACUGACGCUCAUGCACGAAAGCGUGGGGAGCAAACAGG